Molecule: transfer-messenger RNA, 356 nt
Filed under: Nevskia sp.
Lineage: Bacteria; Pseudomonadati; Pseudomonadota; Gammaproteobacteria; Nevskiales; Nevskiaceae
Rfam family: transfer-messenger RNA
About the family: Bacterial tmRNA, also known as 10Sa RNA or SsrA, is named for its dual tRNA and mRNA-like properties. Its role is to liberate the mRNA from a stalled ribosome.
Source: RNAcentral
GGGGGUGACAUGGUUUCGACAGUGACUGGAAACUCGACGUGCAUGCCGAGGUGCUUUCUUCCUCGUAAAACUUGAAAGCAAACAAGCUAGUUGCGAACGACGCUAACUACGCCCUCGCCGCUUAAUCCCGGCGAGCGGUUGCCCCGGUGGUGUUGAUGCCCCGGAAGCAGCCGUCGACUCUCAUCAACUCGCGAUAAAGGCAGGUCACUUGCCGAUACGCUAAAACCCAAAGUGAAUAGGUGAACGCGUUCCGUGCCUGUCCGGGAGCGGUCAAUGAAAAUCAAAGACCGGCUAAGCAUGUAGAUCGAAGAACGGAAGGUUGUUGGACGCGGGUUCGAUUCCCGCCACCUCCACCA